Molecule: long non-coding RNA, 1306 nt
Organism: Bicyclus anynana (squinting bush brown)
Lineage: Eukaryota; Metazoa; Arthropoda; Insecta; Lepidoptera; Nymphalidae
Exons: 2
Source: RefSeq, a predicted model, not a curated record
GUGCCCCUGUUUUCCACGUUAAAUUAUUUUUUUCACAAAUCCAUCGGGAACAGUGUAUUUUUCUUGGAAAGUAUACCUAGUAUAUUGCUCAAUAACCUCCUAUAUCUAUCCCAUUCAAAUCGGUACAGAUUAGCCCGGACACACAGACAAGCAGACAGACGAAAAUUAUAACUUUGAUUGUGUAUAGUUAGAUAAGUACCUUAAUGUGUCAAAACAUAACUAUUAAAUCAAUGUUUGUGUGUGUAAAUUAAUCUAUAUUUUAUGAACGCAAUUAAGCUGUACAUAUAUAAAGACCUGUGUUUAACAAAAUGCAACCAAAAUUUUUAUUAAAAACAUACUACACAAUACAAAGCUACGAUAAAGAUGAGGAAAGUUCUACUCUUCGUGCUGGUUCUGGUGGCGAUAUCCCUGUGCAUGGCUGGAUAUGCGCAACCAUAUCGUCACGCAUAUGAUGAACAGGAAGAUGUCGAGUUUCUCUCGUGGCCGAAGGUACAGAAACGCGCUGUAGACUUCAACCCGCCCCCUUUCAACGAUGAUAGUUAUUGAUAAUAUUAUUACUAUGCCUGCAAUAGUCAGACCGACCUCUUUUUAUGAGCGCUGAGAGUUUGUCAGUCUACGCUCAUAUCAUAGGUAAGUACGGAAGACUGUGGUGGCUUUGGAAGGUAUCGGAUAUCUACUCAUAGGGUCUAGAUCCACAACCUUCCAAUUAUAAAAUGUAUUUUUUUUUAUAUAUAUAUUUUCUUCGUUAUAAUAUGAGAAAUCGUGUCCAAUAGCCAUGUCCAGUCGCCAGUCAUUUAGCUUCGCGGCAAUUCUACAAAAAAUAAUUUUAAAGAUCUGUGUCUGGUGACUAGUGGCGUGCACAACGCUUUCGACUAUACGUAAAAUUUGUAAAAGAAUGGAAAAUCCAAAAAAAAAAAAGAUAAGCAGUGCAUUUUUGCAUCUGUGAAGCGCACGCCACGGCUGGUAGUUGACAUGAUUCUUUAUGAUAUCUCGAAGAAAAUAUCGAAAAGUAACCUACGUUUUGCACAUAUACGUAGUUGAAGAUCUGGACCCUUGAACAUGAUACCUUCGAAAGCUACCCCAAUACUAACUCUUUAGUGGUCUGCGGUACUUACCUAUGGCAAUAAGCAGUAGUUUAUGCUGUCAAACUACCACCUUCGUAAAAUGAAGUAUGUCCGGCUAUCGCAGGCACGCCUAAUAUAUCAAGUCAAGAACUACAUCACCUCGAUCUGCAGUAUCUAUUCAAUAUUAUGUCUGAUUCUUAUGUUAUUAUAUUUCAAGAUAAUAAAGAAUAUAAAAAUAAUAA